RNAcentral lists this non-coding RNA (48 nucleotides) under Schistosoma curassoni. The record is from RNAcentral. Lineage: Eukaryota; Metazoa; Platyhelminthes; Trematoda; Strigeidida; Schistosomatidae.
AUCCAGCUGACAAGUCCCAAACAGGACGAAACGUGGGUCAAACUAGAU